This 253-nucleotide ribosomal RNA is filed under the name uncultured bacterium. RNAcentral describes it as "partial 16S ribosomal RNA". It matches the Rfam family "Bacterial small subunit ribosomal RNA", at positions 524 to 776 of the family's 1533-position model. The record is from RNAcentral.
UACGGAGGGUGCAAGCGUUAUCCGGAUUCACUGGGUUUAAAGGGUGCGUAGGCGGGCAGGUAAGUCAGUGGUGAAAUCUCCGGGCUUAACCCGGAAACUGCCGUUGAUACUAUCUGUCUUGAGUAUCGUGGAGGUAAGCGGAAUAUGUCAUGUAGCGGUGAAAUGCUUAGAUAUGACAUAGAACACCCAUUGCGAAGGCAGCUUACUACACGAUCAUUGACGCUGAGGCACGAAAGCGUGGGGAGCAAACAGG